UGUCCGGUGGCCUAGUGGUUAGAACGUCCGCCUGGGAUGCUGGAGGUCGCGGAUUCCAUCCCCGCUCGAGUCA
This is a non-coding RNA of Potamilus streckersoni, 73 nucleotides long. The record is from the annotation of a GenBank genome assembly. NCBI's taxonomy places the organism in Eukaryota, Metazoa, Mollusca, Bivalvia, Unionida, Unionidae.